UGGGGAAUCUUGCACAAUGGGGGAAACCCUGAUGCAGCGACGCCGCGUGAACGAUGAAGCCCUUCGGGGUGUAAAGUUCUUUCGACAGGAACGAUAAUGACGGUACCUGGAGAAGAAGCUGCGGCUAACUACGUGCCAGCAGCCGCGGUAAUACGUAGGCAGCGAGCGUUGUUCGGAGUUACUGGGCGUAAAGAGUGCGUAGGCGGCGAGCCAAGUUUGGUGUGAAAUCUCCCGGCUUAACCGGGAGGGUGCGCCGAAAACUGGUUGGCUGGAGUAUGGGAGAGGGAAGCGGAAUUCCUGGUGUAGCGGUGAAAUGCGUAGAUAUCAGGAGGAACACCUGCGGUGUAGACAGCUUUCUGGACCAAAACUGACGCUGAGGCACGAAAGCGUGGGUAGCAAACA
Molecule: ribosomal RNA, 402 nt
Filed under: uncultured bacterium
Lineage: Bacteria
Description: bacterial SSU rRNA
Rfam family: Bacterial small subunit ribosomal RNA
Source: RNAcentral